CUCCUCUCAGCACACUCGCCGGCACAGACCAGCAGGCCAGGAGAACAUUCCUGCCGUCUCCCCACCCCCAGCCGCCCUUCCUACUUCCGGAACAGCCCCAGACAGAUUCAACAAGGCCUCCCCAAAGGACAUCACCCUCCUGCAUGGCAGAGGCAUGGCCGUGCUCUGUCAGAGAAGCAGGGAAGAAGAAGAGGGUGUUUCCCUGGGGACCUCUCACUGCCCCUCUGCCAUCCCCCUUCUUCUGUGUGGUGCCCACCUUACUCAAGGAGUUGCAGUGGUAUUGAAAGAGAUGCGGAAAGGUGGAAGGCACUUUUGUCACCAUCCCCGGGCAGCUCCUGGUGGUCAGUGUCUAUUCUCCUCUGCCUCUGUGCUGUGGCCCUGGGCUUCGCUCCCUACCCUGGGUGCCAACAUGAACUAGCUCUUCCUGGAUUUAAGACAUGACCACUCUUUAAAGGGGAUAUUUAUAUCUCAGUGCCUGGCAUGAGGCUUGGUAAUUAUAUGAUGAAUUAAGGAAUGAUAAUUGUAAAAUAAAAUAGUAGAGGACACAUAUUAAAUACUUAGAGUGAACAUUCAAGCCUCUGUGCUUUAUGAAGAUUAUUUCAUUUAUUGGUAUUAUCACAACAAAAAAGCUGUGAGGUAGGUACUAUUAAUAUUCCUAAUGCUAUAGAGAAAGAAAUGGAUGCUCAGAGAGGUUAAGACACUUCUCUAAAGCCUCACAGCUAGUUAGUUCAUGGCAGAGCCUGGAUCAUCUAAUCUCACAUCCUGUUUUCUUAAUCACGGUGCUGAGUGGCUGGAGUGAAUGAAGGAAUAUUGACCAAGGGCAACCUGGCCAGGAGAAAAGAGACAAAGAUGGGACUUGAAACCACAUCCUACAAGGAAACAAUGAAACAAUUAGGAAUGUUCUGGCAACAUGGGCCUCAUGCCUUCUUACUGCGUCAACACCAGGUCUGAGGUUUGGCAAGUGGGUGGCUUACUCAGCGUAGCCAGGAGGGCGAAUCAGUCAUCAGGUUCAAGUGGGGAUGAGAAACUAGGGAGGUCGGAUGGACGCAAGCCUGUGGCAUGUGGUAGAUGCAAAAUCCGAGAGCCACGGGGUACAGAGUACCUCGGCGGGAGCCAGAGUCCACGCUUGUCUUUGUUGCCUUCUGGCCUCAUGGAUGUAGGUGGGAGGGUCAGUCCAUCUGGGGUGGACAAGAAGGCUACAGGAAGAAGGACAUGACGGCACUCUCAAAGAUUCCAGACUCAGAAAGAGUUGGAACUGUGGUGUGGUUUUAGAGUGCAGGAGGAGUGAGAAGGGAUUGGGAACAGAUCUGGACCUGACAAUGAAAAUGCCUCUGGGCACCUCCCUGCUCUGUUUCCCCAAAGACUCAGUGGCCUUGCUUGCUUCAUAUACACAGAUAUUUAACUCUAUGUGGCAACUGGACAUAAAGCAUUCUGAGGAAAAGCAAAUUAAAACUCCCAGAAAUCAAACAGAAAGUAAAAUCUUUAAGAAAAGGACCAAAAUUAACAAAAAAUACAGAAUUUAAAACUUUGGUCACAAUGAAGAGAUGGCGAUAUGACAGAACUCUUAGGUUAACAAUGUAAACCUUCACUUUCAAUUUCUCAUACUUUUUGUCUCCAGCUGAACAAAAUAAAAGCUCAGGAGGAAGCGCA
This 1650-nucleotide long non-coding RNA is filed under the name Homo sapiens (human). RNAcentral describes it as "HSALNT0314997". Lineage: Eukaryota; Metazoa; Chordata; Mammalia; Primates; Hominidae. The record is from RNAcentral.